UCAACAAAAUCACUGAUGCUGGAGUCACCUGAGUCAUCACUCAGCACCAGGAUAUUGUUGGAG
RNAcentral lists this microRNA precursor (63 nucleotides) under Macaca mulatta (Rhesus monkey). RNAcentral's name for it is "Mml-Mir-338-P2-as_pre stem-loop". The record is from RNAcentral. Lineage: Eukaryota; Metazoa; Chordata; Mammalia; Primates; Cercopithecidae.